AGGAUCAACGCUGGCGGCGUGCCUAACACAUGCAAGUCGAACGAGAAAGUGGUAGCAAUACCAUGAGUAAAGUGGCGCACGGGUGAGUAACACGUGACUAACCUACCCUGGAGUGGGGGAUAACUGAGGGAAACCUUAGCUAAUACCGCAUAACACCUACGGGUCAAAGGAGCAAUUCGCUUCAGGAGGGGUCGCGGCAGAUUAGCUAGUUGGCGGGGUAAUGGCCCACCAAGGCAGUGAUCUGUA
Molecule: ribosomal RNA, 246 nt
Filed under: uncultured bacterium
Lineage: Bacteria
Description: partial small subunit ribosomal RNA
Rfam family: Bacterial small subunit ribosomal RNA
Source: RNAcentral